UGUGUAGGUGGCGCGCUAAGUCGGGUGUGAAAUUUCGGAGCUUAACUCCGAAACUGCAUUCGAUACUGGCGUGCUUGAGGACUGGAGAGGAGACUGGAAUUUACGGUGUAGCAGUGAAAUGCGUAGAUAUCGUAAGGAAGACCAGUGGCGAAGGCGGGUCUCUGGACAGUUCCUGACACUGAGACACGAGGGCCAGGGGGAGCAAACG
This 208-nucleotide ribosomal RNA is filed under the name uncultured bacterium. Its description in RNAcentral is "partial 16S ribosomal RNA". It matches the Rfam family "Bacterial small subunit ribosomal RNA", at positions 568 to 774 of the family's 1533-position model. The record is from RNAcentral.